CCCAGACUCCUACGGGAGGCAGCAGUGGGGGAUAUUGGACAAUGGGGGGAACCCUGAUCCAGCGAUGCCGCGUGAGGGAAGAAGGUUUUCGGAUUGUAAACCUCUGUGGACAGGGACGAUAAUGACGGUACCUGUCAAGAAAGCCACGGCUAACUACGUGCCAGCAGCCGCGGUAAUACGUAGGGGGCAAGCGUUAUCCGGAUUUACUGGGUGUAAAGGGAGCGUAGGCGGCAGUGCAAGUCAGAAGUGAAAGCCCAAGGCUCAACCAUGGGACUGCUUUUGAAACUGUACAGCUAGAUUGCAGGAGAGGUAAGUGGAAUUCCUAGUGUAGCGGUGAAAUGCGUAGAUAUUAGGAGGAACACCAGUGGCGAAGGCGGCUUACUGGACUGUAAAUGACGCUGAGGCUCGAAAGCGUGGGGAGCAAACAGGAUUAGAUACCCUCGUAAAG
RNAcentral lists this ribosomal RNA (448 nucleotides) under uncultured bacterium. Its description in RNAcentral is "bacterial SSU rRNA". It matches the Rfam family "Bacterial small subunit ribosomal RNA", at positions 330 to 793 of the family's 1533-position model. The record is from RNAcentral.